Molecule: ribosomal RNA, 1382 nt
Filed under: uncultured bacterium
Lineage: Bacteria
Description: bacterial SSU rRNA
Rfam family: Bacterial small subunit ribosomal RNA
Source: RNAcentral
CCUGGCUCAGGAUGAACGCUAGCUACAGGCUUAACACAUGCAAGUCGAGGGGCAGCAUGGUCUUAGCUUGCUAAGGCCGAUGGCGACCGGCGCACGGGUGAGUAACACGUAUCCAACCUGCCGUCUACUCUUGGACAGCCUUCUGAAAGGAAGAUUAAUACAAGAUGGCAUCAUGAGUCCGCAUGUUCACAUGAUUAAAGGUAUUCCGGUAGACGAUGGGGAUGCGUUCCAUUAGAUAGUAGGCGGGGUAACGGCCCACCUAGUCUUCGAUGGAUAGGGGUUCUGAGAGGAAGGUCCCCCACAUUGGAACUGAGACACGGUCCAAACUCCUACGGGAGGCAGCAGUGAGGAAUAUUGGUCAAUGGGCGAGAGCCUGAACCAGCCAAGUAGCGUGAAGGAUGACUGCCCUAUGGGUUGUAAACUUCUUUUAUAAAGGAAUAAAGUCGGGUAUGGAUACCCGUUUGCAUGUACUUUAUGAAUAAGGAUCGGCUAACUCCGUGCCAGCAGCCGCGGUAAUACGGAGGAUCCGAGCGUUAUCCGGAUUUAUUGGGUUUAAAGGGAGCGUAGAUGGAUGUUUAAGUCAGUUGUGAAAGUUUGCGGCUCAACCGUAAAAUUGCAGUUGAUACUGGAUAUCUUGAGUGCAGUUGAGGCAGGCGGAAUUCGUGGUGUAGCGGUGAAAUGCUUAGAUAUCACGAAGAACUCCGAUUGCGAAGGCAGCCUGCUAAGCUGCAACUGACAUUGAGGCUCGAAAGUGUGGGUAUCAAACAGGAUUAGAUACCCUGGUAGUCCACACGGUAAACGAUGAAUACUCGCUGUUUGCGAUAUACAGCAAGCGGCCAAGCGAAAGCGUUAAGUAUUCCACCUGGGGAGUACGCCGGCAACGGUGAAACUCAAAGGAAUUGACGGGGGCCCGCACAAGCGGAGGAACAUGUGGUUUAAUUCGAUGAUACGCGAGGAACCUUACCCGGGCUUAAAUUGCAGAUGAAUUACGGUGAAAGCCGUAAGCCGCAAGGCAUCUGUGAAGGUGCUGCAUGGUUGUCGUCAGCUCGUGCCGUGAGGUGUCGGCUUAAGUGCCAUAACGAGCGCAACCCUUGUUGUCAGUUACUAACAGGUUCCGCUGAGGACUCUGACAAGACUGCCAUCGUAAGAUGUGAGGAAGGUGGGGAUGACGUCAAAUCAGCACGGCCCUUACGUCCGGGGCUACACACGUGUUACAAUGGGGGGUACAGAGGGCCGCUACCACGCGAGUGGAUGCCAAUCCCAAAAACCUCUCUCAGUUCGGACUGGAGUCUGCAACCCGACUCCACGAAGCUGGAUUCGAUAGUAAUCGCGCAUCAGCCACGGCGCGGUGAAUACCCCAACGGGCCUUGUACACACCGCCC